This 492-nucleotide ribosomal RNA is filed under the name uncultured bacterium. RNAcentral describes it as "partial 16S ribosomal RNA". It matches the Rfam family "Bacterial small subunit ribosomal RNA", at positions 29 to 507 of the family's 1533-position model. The record is from RNAcentral.
AGUGAACGCUGGCGGUAGGCCUAACACAUGCAAGUCGAACGGCAGCACAGUAAUUGCUUGCUCUUACGGGUGGCGAGUGGCGGACGGGUGAGGAAUACAUCGGAAUCUACUUUUUCGUGGGGGAUAACGUAGGGAAACUUACGCUAAUAUCGCAUACGACCUACGGGUGAAAGCAUGGGAUCUUCGUACCUUGCGCGAUUGAAUGAGCCGAUGUCGGAUUAGCUGGUUGGCGGGGUUAAGGCCCACCAAGGCGACGAUCCGUAGCUGGUCUGAGAGCAUGAUAAGCGGCACUGGAGCGGAAACGCGGUCAAGACUACUAAGAGAGGCAGCAGUGGGGUAUAUUGGACAGUGGGGGCAAGUCUGGUCCAGCCAGAGCGAGUGGGAGAAGAAGGCCUUGGGGGUGUAAAGACGGUUUGUUGGGAGAGAAAAGCAGCAGGUUGAUACCCAGCGGUAGUGACGGUACCCGAAGAAUAAGCACCGGCUAACUUCGUG